UGGGGAAUAUUGCACAAUGGGCGCAAGCCUGAUGCAGCCAUGCCGCGUGUGUGAAGAAGGCCUUCGGGUUGUAAAGCACUUUCAGCGAGGAGGAAGGUGGUGAGCUUAAUACGCUCAUCAAUUGACGUUACUCGCAGAAGAAGCACCGGCUAACUCCGUGCCAGCAGCCGCGGUAAUACGGAGGGUGCAAGCGUUAAUCGGAAUUACUGGGCGUAAAGCGCACGCAGGCGGUUUGUUAAGUCAGAUGUGAAAUCCCCGGGCUCAACCUGGGAACUGCAUUUGAAACUGGCAAGCUAGAGUCUCGUAGAGGGGGGUAGAAUUCCAGGUGUAGCGGUGAAAUGCGUAGAGAUCUGGAGGAAUACCGGUGGCGAAGGCGGCCCCCUGGACGAAGACUGACGCUCAGGUGCGAAAGCGUGGGGCAGCAAACAGGAUUAGAUACCCUGGUAGUCACGCUGUAAACGAUGUC
Molecule: ribosomal RNA, 466 nt
Filed under: uncultured bacterium
Lineage: Bacteria
Description: partial 16S ribosomal RNA
Rfam family: Bacterial small subunit ribosomal RNA
Source: RNAcentral